UAAUCAUACCAUUAGUUUAGAAGUAGAAACAAAUAGAAUUUUAUCAUCUCAACACCAUACUAUACAUUAAUUAAUCGUGAAUUACUACCAUCCAAACAGAACAUAAAUUUUCAAUAAAAAAUUAAUUGUUGUUGAUCCAGAACAGGUACACUAUUAUACUUUUAAAAGUUAAAUUGUCCAUUUCUUUAUGUUCAAAAUUCAUGGUAAUAUGCAUGAAAGAACAACGAUAAU
This 231-nucleotide long non-coding RNA is filed under the name Carica papaya (papaya). Its description in RNAcentral is "long non-coding RNA (CPAP_LNC009828)". Lineage: Eukaryota; Viridiplantae; Streptophyta; Magnoliopsida; Brassicales; Caricaceae. The record is from RNAcentral.